This 452-nucleotide long non-coding RNA is filed under the name Vulpes vulpes (red fox). Its description in RNAcentral is "lncRNA (ENSVVUG00000029573.1)". Lineage: Eukaryota; Metazoa; Chordata; Mammalia; Carnivora; Canidae. The record is from RNAcentral.
GCAGUCGGCCUUCCCAUGAGGAAGGCAUUGGUAGCCAGGGAGGAGAGGAGGGGAGCGGUGGGGUAGAAGGAGGUGAACGGGGUGGAAUGGGGCUGGGCUCGGAGUAGGAGUCACCGUUUCCUCAGCCAUGCUGCUGUUUCCUUCUCCUCAGAACACGCUGCGCUGAUGUAACACCCGGGUGUCCCGUGCCCUGGCUCCUGGAAGCAGGGAUGGAUUCCAGUAGAUUUCUUCAAAAAUCCGGAGAAAGACCUCAAGAAAAACAGAGACUGGCUUUUGAAUUGAAAUGAGACACAAAAGAUAGUGUGCUCUGGAGUCACACUACUUAGAAUUGAAUCCUGGCUCCACCAUCUACUCACUCUACAAAUUUAGGUAAAUUACUGAGUCACUUUUUGCUUUAGCUUUUUAAUCCAGUUUGCAAGAAGGUAAUAACAGCAUCUAACUCAUAGGGUUGU